Anopheles arabiensis is the source of this 422-nucleotide long non-coding RNA. RefSeq lists it as uncharacterized. The record is from RefSeq and is a predicted model, not a curated record. NCBI's taxonomy places the organism in Eukaryota, Metazoa, Arthropoda, Insecta, Diptera, Culicidae. The transcript is spliced from 3 exons.
AGCAAAGAUGCUUGCUGCCGUUAAUGAGGCAAGGAAAACUCAUCGGGAUGGCGGAUGUGCCGCCUACUUUGAAUGUGCUGCCCAAUUUUGUGUUCCUUUUUCCCAACCACUAACCUUGGGACGAGCCUAGGCGCGCAAAGGGCACCGGGAAAGUACGUCACAGGUGACUUCAAGAGCAACGACAGAUAAAGCAGCCAUCGUGUGUUUGUGUGUGUGUGCAUGUUUUCGGCGCAGUAUUUUCAGCGUAGUAUAAUGUGAUACGAUUAGCUAAAAUCGUGUUAUCGUAGGUUUUACGUAAAUUAUGUAAAGAGUUCCAGCAAGCAGGCUGCGAUGUUGUACACCGAUGAUGCCACGUACGCACAAAAACCUGUGUAGGCAACCUCUUUCUCAUCCUCUUCUUUACAACACUGACUCCUACUCCG